UGUGUACUCCCUCCGUCCGGAAAAACUUGUCUCUCAAAUAGAUGUAUCUAGCAUCAAGUUAGUGUUAGAUACAUCCAUUUAAGAGACAAACCUGGAACAAUUUUUUUUUGGACGGAAGGAGUAUGUG
Non-coding RNA from Triticum aestivum (bread wheat), 127 nucleotides. The record is from Rfam. NCBI's taxonomy places the organism in Eukaryota, Viridiplantae, Streptophyta, Magnoliopsida, Poales, Poaceae.